Molecule: ribosomal RNA, 1353 nt
Filed under: uncultured bacterium
Lineage: Bacteria
Description: partial 16S ribosomal RNA
Rfam family: Bacterial small subunit ribosomal RNA
Source: RNAcentral
GAUGAACGCUGGCGGCGUGCCUAAUACAUGCAAGUCGAGCGAACGGACGGGAAGCUUGCUUCUCUGAUGUUAGCGGCGGACGGGUGAGUAACACGUGGAUAACCUACCUAUAAGACUGGGAUAACUUCGGGAAACCGGAGCUAAUACCGGAUAAUAUUUUGAACCGCAUGGUUCAAAAGUGAAAGACGGUCUUGCUGUCACUUAUAGAUGGAUCCGCGCUGCAUUAGCUAGUUGGUAAGGUAACGGCUUACCAAGGCAACGAUGCAUAGCCGACCUGAGAGGGUGAUCGGCCACACUGGAACUGAGACACGGCCCAGACUCCUACGGGAGGCAGCAGUGGGGAAUAUUGCACAAUGGGCGGAAGCCUGAUGCAGCGACGCCGCGUGGGGGAUGACGGCCUUCGGGUUGUAAACUCCUUUCACCAUCGACGAAGGGUUUCUGACGGUAGAUGGAGAAGAAGCACCGGCUAACUACGUGCCAGCAGCCGCGGUAAUACGUAGGGUGCGAGCGUUGUCCGGAAUUACUGGGCGUAAAGAGCUCGUAGGUGGUUUGUCGCGUCGUCUGUGAAAUUCCGGGGCUUAACUCCGGGCGUGCAGGCGAUACGGGCAUAACUUGAGUACUGUAGGGGAGACUGGAAUUCCUGGUGUAGCGGUGAAAUGCGCAGAUAUCAGGAGGAACACCGGUGGCGAAGGCGGGUCUCUGGGCAGUAACUGACGCUGAGGAGCGAAAGCAUGGGGAGCGAACAGGAUUAGAUACCCUGGUAGUCCAUGCCGUAAACGGUGGGCGCUAGGUGUGGGUUUCCUUCCACGGGAUCCGUGCCGUAGCUAACGCAUUAAGCGCCCCGCCUGGGGAGUACGGCCGCAAGGCUAAAACUCAAAGGAAUUGACGGGGGCCCGCACAAGCGGCGGAGCAUGUGGAUUAAUUCGAUGCAACGCGAAGAACCUUACCUGGGCUUGACAUAUACAGGAUCGCGCCAGAGAUGGUGUUUCCCUUGUGGCUUGUAUACAGGUGGUGCAUGGUUGUCGUCAGCUCGUGUCGUGAGAUGUUGGGUUAAGUCCCGCAACGAGCGCAACCCUUGUCUUAUGUUGCCAGCACGUUGUGGUGGGGACUCGUAAGAAACUGCCGGGGUUAACUCGGAGGAAGGUGGGGAUGACGUCAAAUCAUCAUGCCCCUUAUGUCCAGGGCUUCACACAUGCUACAAUGGUCGGUACAGUGGGUUGCCAGUCCGUGAGGGCGAGCUAAUCCCGCAAAGCCGGUCUCAGUUCGGAUCGGGGUCUGCAACUCGACCCCGUGAAGUCGGAGUCGCUAGUAAUCGCAGAUCAGCAACGCUGCGGUGAAUACGUUCCCGGGCCU